Molecule: long non-coding RNA, 2608 nt
Filed under: Sus scrofa (pig)
Lineage: Eukaryota; Metazoa; Chordata; Mammalia; Artiodactyla; Suidae
Description: lncRNA (ENSSSCG00015047427.1)
Source: RNAcentral
GAGCUACAUUCAUGGAAGCAGCCAGGCUCAAUUCGUGGCAGAGUCACACAUUAUUCUGGUACUAAACGCUGCUAUCACCAUGGGGAUGGUUCUUCUAAAUGAAGCGGCAACAUCCAAAGGAGAUGUUGGAAAAAGACGAAUCAUUUGUCUAGUGGGAUUAGGCCUGGUGGUCUUCUUCUUCAGUUUUCUACUUUCAAUAUUUCGUUCCAAGUACCAUGGCUAUCCUUACAGCUUUUUAAUUAAAUGAAGCCAAGUGGGAUUUGCAUAAAGUGAAUGUUUACCGUGAAGAUAAAGUGUUCCUGACAUACUAGUUUGAAUUCCUGAGUUCAUUUCCUUGCCGAUUGUGAUAAUCCAGCUUAGUCUUGUAUCAUUUUUUUAAACGUGAGUUUUCCUAGUAAACUUAAUUUAUAGAAGUGGAUGGUUACAUUUAAUAUGGAAAUAACGAACUGUUGAAGUGUUUCUCAAGCAUAUUAUAUUCAGUGUGUGCUGUAAAAUUGAAAUAAAUGAUAAUGUAAUCAUGAAUUCAUGUUUUAAAACUGUUCACUCACUGGUAAAGAAAACUCCAGUGUUAGUAAAGGAAAACUGUGAAAUGUAUCUUCAACAACUUGGGGUUGUAUAGAGGUGAGGUGUAUGCAUGAAAAUAUGUCAUGUACUGAAAAAUUAUACUUAACUGCAGCUUCAGUAUAAAUGAUGUGUAUGGUUACAAAAAGCGUUUUGUUCUUAUUAAUCUUAUUUAGAUAAAGGAGAUAGGACAGGUAAUGGGAUGAAUAGCGCUUGGAUGUCCACCCAGGGAAAUAGAGGUUUUCCCUAGGAUGUACAUCUAAAGCAAACAUGACUACAAACAUGACACCAUGCCUCAAGGCAUCAGGCAACACAAGCAACACACCAGAACUAGGAAUUCAUUCUUCUCCAAUUUUACAAGUGUCACCCAAGAAUCCAGAUAUAUAACCACAAAACUAACCCUUGAUGGACAUUUUCCCCUUAUGUUAUAUGGAAGAAGCUUUGCCAUCGAAUCUCUAUUCCCUGGAUCUAGAUAGAGAUUAAUUAUCCUAAUAUGAGUGAGUGACUCAAUGAAGCUUUCUUGAAAACCAACUAUAUAAGUAUAACCAUAACUAUGCCUGCAUUUCCUCUUUCAGUUUAUAAAAAGCUUUCCUAUCUGUUAUGGUAUUUUUUCCUCACAACAACUCUGUAAAUUAGAUGGGCAUUCAGACAGGAAAUGUAAAUUUUUCUGACUUAAAUUUAAGUACUGGAAGCUGAAAGCCAAAAAGAAAAAAAUAGAGCUUGUAACUCUGCUUUCAAACUCUCAAACCUGAAUUUUUAUUUUCUGUGGUGCUACCUAAAGAAACACAGUUAUUUAUUCAGCUCAGUAAACUUCUUUUUUAGGCUUUUGUAGUCUAAUUUUCAUUAGGUUCUGACUAAUAGACCAUGGAGAACUUUGUUGAUUGAGAGUUCCAGCUAUGUAGUCUCAAGACAGGAACCAGGAUCUGCUGCAUCUCCCUGUUUUGUACUGUGGAAUUCAAUGAUGAAUGGGAAGUUAAAAGCCUGGAGGGGCAAAGGAAGUUAAAUCCCAGGGCAGUAUUGUGAGAGCAGGAAGAAAGCUAUUUUGUCAAAACAUUCAUAUAUUUGGCAAAAACUGCAAAGUAAUUCUGAACUAUGUUAACCGUACCACUUAGUCCCAAAAUCUAUUAUUAAAAAUCACAUAAUUCCCCUAGUUCCUGUUCAAAGAUUGAUAAAUUCAGUAUUGGAAUGGCUUUUAUGGAAAAGCAAUCAGUGAUCUUAGCAAUUUGUUUAAAGCCUAUGUCUAGAUAGCAUUUUACCUGUAAAUCUUAAACCAUUAAGUAUUCUAAUAUUUUCUAAAAUUUAUUCAGAACAAACAUUAAAAUUGGGAGUUUGAGGCCAAAUUUUUACAUUGAGUAAGUGUUUCUUUAGUAAUUAUAGUUACUUUUGUUUGUCCCCUUAAAGCUCGGAAUUCCUAUUAACACACACCUAAGAGCUCUAUGAAGCCUUUUCAUGUUUAAUCAUGACCAGAGUCAGUUCUCAGACACAGUGACCUAGGUAAGGAGAACUUCCCAAUCCCAGAUUAGUAAAAAAUAUCUAGCUUAUAUUAUGUAAUUUUCUCUGAACAUUAAGUAAUGCCAAUUAUGAAAAGAAAUUUUUUUUCCAGAAUUUUGGUUUAAAAACCUAUUGCUUCUCUAUAGACAGUUAUUGCAUUAGGAAAAGAGAAAAAAAAAAAAGAAAGAAAGAAAAAGAAAACUACCUCAAAGUCAUUAUUUGAAAGUGCUACAGGCAAAACUACAAAGGGUGACUCAAACGAAGUUUGCUUUCAGAAUGUAACAUAUGGCAUGUCACAUACAAAAUAUGCUAUUACUUUUGCCAGCUAAUUUAAAUUGAAAAAUGUAUUUGUAUUUGGAAUGUUAUAUCUUACAAUGUCACUUCAACCUGACUCACUGUAUUGAAAACUCCCUUAAAAACAUAUAUUUAACAAGCUCCAGUUAAAAUAAGAAUUACUUUCCUACUCAGUUGGAGUUAAAAAUCUUAAAAUUUUAUCUAAAGGAGUACAAUUCUAUCUACAAUAACUUCUGAUGAAUAAAGUUUUCCAUUUUGCUCA